AGUCGGUGGCUGGUCGGUGACUGGGACCAGACCGUCGCCUCCUCCCUUUUACAGCUUUAAGUCUGUGACCCGAGGCCUCUCUGUAUAUUCCCGUGGGGUUGGGCCUAGUUGUCCUGGGAGAAACUAGAUGGAUGAGGAGUAUUUCCGAGACAGGUCCCAGGGCCAGCGCAGCCUUUUCUGUUGCAGAACCGCGACUGUUGUUUUGGGAUCCAGGCCGGAGGGUUUGUUGCUUGUGUUCAUUCCAGUUAACCAUUAGUACUCGAGAAGGUGGUACAGAACGCAUCUAUCCCCUUAGAAGAAAAGAAAUUAAAAGCCAAACUAAACUGGGAUAUAUAUUAAUAUAGGAAACUACCACUGAGACAUAGGAAAGUGUAUUAAAAUAUAACUAGUGAGGUGCUAUGUAUAAUUCAGAGGAAGGGGAAAUUAUGCAUGGGCCAGACUACUAACAAAAGGCUCCAAAGCCUGGGAUACGCUGAGGGCCUUUCCAUAACAGAAAAUGAAAAGGAACCUAAAUUUGAGACUAGAUUUGAGGAAAGGCACAGUUGCGCUGGAGUAGAAAGCGUCUGUCUACCGCAGUGGAAAUGAACUAAAGGGCUCCCAAAAUCUCUCCUGCAGCAUUUUCCUUGAGAAGGAGGAAGGUUUGCAUCUCUAAAUCUCUCUCUGGGAACAGUGUGGAAGAUGGAUUGAAAUGGUGUAAAAUUGAAGAUGUGGACUCCGGUUGGGAGACUACACCCUAGAUAAGAUGAAGAGAACUUGAAGCAAGACAAUAGCAAUGGGAAUAUAAAGGAGAGGAGACAUUUGAGUGAAAUUAAGGAAGCACAAUCUGCAGACUGUUUUCUUUUUUUUAAGAGUCAG
RNAcentral lists this long non-coding RNA (855 nucleotides) under Homo sapiens (human). RNAcentral's name for it is "non-protein coding lnc-NUP153-3:7". The record is from RNAcentral. Lineage: Eukaryota; Metazoa; Chordata; Mammalia; Primates; Hominidae.